UGGAAAGAUCAGGUUGACAAAAUUCUACGAACAUUUCCAUGAAGAGGAGCAACAACACAUUAUACGCGAGGUUUUUCAACUUGUUUCCAGGCGAGCAGAUGACGUUUGCAGCUUCCUUGAAGGUGGAGAGUCCUGGUAGAGCUUCUUGAUAAGGCCUUUGAAAAUGUCUGUGAGCUUGACCUCGUGUUUCACGUGGACCAGGUGCACUACAUCUUGAACGAGCUUGUGAUGGGAGGUAUGGUGGUAGACACCAACAUGACUG
Dermacentor silvarum is the source of this 262-nucleotide long non-coding RNA. RefSeq lists it as uncharacterized. The record is from RefSeq and is a predicted model, not a curated record. The transcript has 4 exons. Lineage: Eukaryota; Metazoa; Arthropoda; Arachnida; Ixodida; Ixodidae.